UGGGGAAUAUUGGACAAUGGGCGAAAGCCUGAUCCAGCCAUGCCGCGUGUGUGAAGAAGGUCUUCGGAUUGUAAAGCACUUUAAGUUGGGAGGAAGGGCAGUAAGCGAAUACCUUGCUGUUUUGACGUUACCGACAGAAUAAGCACCGGCUAACUCUGUGCCAGCAGCCGCGGUAAUACAGAGGGUGCAAGCGUUAAUCGGAAUUACUGGGCGUAAAGCGCGCGUAGGUGGUUCGUUAAGUUGAAUGUGAAAGCCCCGGGCUCAACCUGGGAAGUGCAUCCGAAACUGGCGAGCUAGAGUAGGGCAGAGGGUGGUGGAAUUGCCUGUGUAGCGGUGAAAUGCGUAGAUAUAGGAAGGAACACCAGUGGCGAAGGCGACCACCUGGGCUCAUACUGACACUGAGGUGCGAAAGCGUGGGGAGCAAACAGG
RNAcentral lists this ribosomal RNA (429 nucleotides) under Pseudomonadota bacterium. RNAcentral's name for it is "Proteobacteria bacterium partial 16S ribosomal RNA". It matches the Rfam family "Bacterial small subunit ribosomal RNA", at positions 355 to 776 of the family's 1533-position model. Lineage: Bacteria; Pseudomonadati; Pseudomonadota. The record is from RNAcentral.